This is a non-coding RNA of Triticum aestivum (bread wheat), 110 nucleotides long. The record is from Rfam. NCBI's taxonomy places the organism in Eukaryota, Viridiplantae, Streptophyta, Magnoliopsida, Poales, Poaceae.
AUAAUACUCCCUCCGUUCGGAAUUACUUGUCGCAAAAAUGGAUGUAUCUAGACCUACGUCUAGAUACAUCCAUUUUUGCGACAAGUAGUUCCGAACGGAGGGAGUAUAUG